GACAGAGGGUGCAAGCGUUGUUCGGAAUUACUGGGCGUAAAGCGCGUGUAGGCUGCUUCGAAAGUCGGAUGUGAAAGCCCUGGGCUCAACCUAGGAAGUGCACUCGAAACUUCGAAGCUGGAGUCCUGGAGAGGAAGGCGGAAUUCUCGGUGUAGAGGUGAAAUUCGUAGAUAUCGAGAGGAACACCGGUGGCGAAGGCGGCCUUCUGGACAGUGACUGACGCUGAGACGCGAAAGCGUGGGGAGCAAACAGG
RNAcentral lists this ribosomal RNA (253 nucleotides) under uncultured bacterium. Its description in RNAcentral is "partial 16S ribosomal RNA". It matches the Rfam family "Bacterial small subunit ribosomal RNA", at positions 524 to 776 of the family's 1533-position model. The record is from RNAcentral.